CGUGAAAUUGGUGAAAGGGAAGCGUUUAUGACCAGACUUGGACUUGGUUAAUCAUCUGGGGUUCUCCCCAGUGCACUUUUCCAGUUCAGGCCAGCAUCAGUUUUCCCCGGGGGAUAAAGGCGGCGGGAAUGUGGCUCUCUUCGGGGAGUGUUAUAGCGCGCCGUGUAAUACCCUGGGGGGGACUGAGGUUCGCGCAUCUGCAAGGAUGCUGGCGUAAUGGGCAUCAACGACCCGUCUUGAAACACGG
RNAcentral lists this ribosomal RNA (247 nucleotides) under Fusarium sp. Its description in RNAcentral is "partial large subunit ribosomal RNA". It matches the Rfam family "Eukaryotic large subunit ribosomal RNA", at positions 398 to 664 of the family's 3401-position model. The record is from RNAcentral. Lineage: Eukaryota; Fungi; Ascomycota; Sordariomycetes; Hypocreales; Nectriaceae.